This 475-nucleotide ribosomal RNA is filed under the name uncultured bacterium. Its description in RNAcentral is "bacterial SSU rRNA". It matches the Rfam family "Bacterial small subunit ribosomal RNA", at positions 328 to 793 of the family's 1533-position model. The record is from RNAcentral.
GUGAUGUACUCCUACGGGAGGCAGCAGUGGGGAAUAUUGCACAAUGGGGGAAACCCUGAUGCAGCCAUGCCGCGUGUGUGAAGAGGCCUUCGGGUUGUAAAGCACUUUCAGUAGGGAGGAAGGUAGUGUAGUUAACACCUGCAUUAUUUGACGUUACCUACAGAAGAAGCACCGGCUAACUCCGUGCCAGCAGCCGCGGUAAUACGGAGGGUGCGAGCGUUAAUCGGAAUUACUGGGCGUAAAGCGCAUGCAGGCGGCCUGUUAAGUCAGAUGUGAAAGCCCCGGGGCUUAACCUCGGAAUUGCAUUUGAAACUGGCAGGCUAGAGUCUUGUAGAGGGGGUAGAAUUUCAGGUGUAGCGGUGAAAUGCGUAGAGAUCUGAAGGAAUACCAGUGGCGAAGGCGGCCCCCUGGACAAAGACUGACGCUCAGAUCGCGAAAGCGUGGGGAGCAAACCAGGAUUAGAUACCCUCGGGAG